AGAGUUUGAUCCUGGCUCAGAACGAACGCUGGCGGCGUGGAUAAGACAUGCAAGUCGAACGAGAGAAUUGCUAGCUUGCUAAUAAUUCUCUAGUGGCGCACGGGUGAGUAACACGUGAGUAACCUGCCCCCGAGAGCGGGAUAGCCCUGGGAAACUGGGAUUAAUACCGCAUAGUAUCGAAAGAUUAAAGCAGCAAUGCGCUUGGGGAUGGGCUCGCGGCCUAUUAGUUAGUUGGUGAGGUAACGGCUCACCAAGGCGAUGACGGGUAGCCGGUCUGAGAGGAUGUCCGGCCACACUGGAACUGAGACACGGUCCAGACACCUACGGGUGGCAGCAGUCGAGAAUCAUUCACAAUGGGGGAAACCCUGAUGGUGCGACGCCGCGUGGGGGAAUGAAGGUCUUCGGAUUGUAAACCCCUGUCAUGUGGGAGCAAAUUAAAAAGAUAGUACCACAAGAGGAAGAGACGGCUAACUCUGUGCCAGCAGCCGCGGUAAUACAGAGGUCUCAAGCGUUGUUCGGAAUCACUGGGCGUAAAGCGUGCGUAGGCUGUUUCGUAAGUCGUGUGUGAAAGGCGCGGGCUCAACCCGCGGACGGCACAUGAUACUGCGAGACUAGAGUAAUGGAGGGGGAACCGGAAUUCUCGGUGUAGCAGUGAAAUGCGUAGAUAUCGAGAGGAACACUCGUGGCGAAGGCGGGUUCCUGGACAUUAACUGACGCUGAGGCACGAAGGCCAGGGGAGCGAAAGGGAUUAGAUACCCCUGUAGUCCUGGCAGUAAACGGUGCACGCUUGGUGUGCGGGGAAUAGACCCCCUGCGUGCCGGAGCUAACGCGUUAAGCGUGCCGCCUGGGGAGUACGGUCGCAAGAUUAAAACUCAAAGAAAUUGACGGGGAGCCGCACAAGCGGUGGAGUAUGUGGCUUAAUUCGAUGCAACGCGAAGAACCUUACCUGGGCUUGACAUGUAAUGAACAACAUGUGAAAGCAUGCGACUCUUCGGAGGCGUUACACAGGUGCUGCAUGGCCGUCGUCAGCUCGUGUCGUGAGAUGUUUGGUUAAGUCCAGCAACGAGCGCAACCCCUGUUGCCAGUUACCAGCACGUGAAGGUGGGGACUCUGGCGAGACUGCCCAGAUCAACUGGGAGGAAGGUGGGGACGACGUCAGGUCAGUAUGGCCCUUAUGCCCAGGGCUGCACACGUACUACAACGCCCAGUACAGAGGGGGCCGAAGCCGCGAGGCGGAGGAAAUCCUAAAAACUGGGCCCAGUUCGGACUGUAGGCUGCAACCCGCCUACACGAAGCCGGAAUCGCUAGUAAUGGCGCAUCAGCUACGGCGCCGUGAAUACGUUCCCGGGUCUUGCACUCACCGCCCGUCA
Molecule: ribosomal RNA, 1370 nt
Filed under: uncultured bacterium
Lineage: Bacteria
Description: bacterial SSU rRNA
Rfam family: Bacterial small subunit ribosomal RNA
Source: RNAcentral